GUCUGCGUGAGCAUCAACACGUGCGAUAAACUUCGUACGCUUUCAUCUGAUGCUUUCUUGCGGACAAGUGUUGUUCUUUGGCAGGCAUGAUUUAUCGCUUAUAGCUGGAGCGUGAGACGCGCUGGUCGCGUCGGCGUCUACUCUAUAUAGUUUGAUGAAACGUUCCGCCAGCAAUAACAAACGAUAAAGUUGCCAGAAACUUACUGUGUACCUGAACGAUGAUGGCAGGGGUGAUAGCCGCACGUGCUUCCAGUUUAUCCGGCUGCUACUUCGCUGGAAGGCCACACCUUGCCGACAUGGGUGAAGUCGCUGCGGUACCGGCCACUCCUGUAAAUGCCGCGCUGUUUUGUCGACGGCGUGCUCGACGACGACGAUAAAUGGUACAAUGUUCGUCAAAAGUAAAUGGGCUACUCUGUGCCUUCACUGUAUACGUCACUCAGCUCUCUGCUGCGGCUCCCAUGGCGCUCCUGGCACCCCAGAUGUCUGGAUGCAUUAUGCCGGCACCAUGAACUUGCACCAGCCGAGCACAAGCUGUGGUCCAGGUAUUCAGCCGUGGAUGUGACGUGGCGGUAAGUGGCCAUCACAACUCUUUGCAUACCUCCCACGUCCUCUUCAUGAGACUUCAGUGCCCGGCCAUAGUAUGUGCUCAGCCUUGUUAUCAGCUCUUCCACCUGUCUAUUCCACCAAGGCCCCGCUUAUUCCCACACCUGUGCUUCUGCACCAGGUUUCGCAAGGGCGUCCUCAUACAUUUUUUCUCUUUCUUCACUUCAAUGUAGCCAUAGACUUGCUUCUUGGAUGGCAGAAAAAGUUUUUCUGUCGCUGUCACACAACAUAGUUGUGUAGUGUAUGCCCUGGCAUUCGUAUAAUCUCUGAAACAGGAUCAGAGCCGCCUCCACUUCCAUUUGGCCAGAUUUGCUUUCAGUGUUUUUCUGGCAUUUCCCUUUAUGGCUUGCACUCCAUUCUUCGUAGCCGUCGGUACCAGGCUUUGGGCCCACCUCGCAUCCUAAGCAAAAGUUCGAUAAAACCAUGUAAUCGAUGACAUACCCACUGAAUAGUUCUAUCACUGUGCCAACGCCGAUGUGGGAACAGUGGCCUCAUGUCAUCCACGUGCCGUCGUAGCUAACGGCAGUAUUGCCCCUGUGGCCGAAACGUAGGUCUUCUUAAAGAUUUGGGACUUUCGUUGCACAUUCGCUCAUAGCGGCAUCCGCUGCUCGGGCGGAAGCGGGUGCCAACGUAUUCUUCAAAUGCCGUUUGUACGUCUUGUGGUGCAUGCCACAGUGAGAAAUUCCCAUUGCUGCGAAAAUGUAGUUCAUUUUCGUCUCCCGAUGCCACUGGCCAUCAUUGCUCUCGUGCCAAGAAAGUUCACUUCGAACGGGUUGCACGUUUUCUUGCUGUCUACCCGGGGCGAAGUCCAGGUAUUCGCGAUCUCGCCACAUGUUUCGCAUUUCACUGACAGCUUG
This is a long non-coding RNA of Dermacentor silvarum, 1460 nucleotides long. RefSeq lists it as uncharacterized. NCBI's taxonomy places the organism in Eukaryota, Metazoa, Arthropoda, Arachnida, Ixodida, Ixodidae. The transcript has 3 exons. The record is from RefSeq and is a predicted model, not a curated record.